UUUCCGUAGGUGAACCUGCGGAAGGAUCAUUAACGAACUGUCGACACGAGUUGUUGCUGUCCCCAAACCGGGGGCAUGUGCACGCUCUGUUUACACAUCCACUCACACCUGUGCACCCUCCGUAGCUCUGUGGCCUGGGGGUCUCCACCCCCUUGCCGUGGUUCUACGUCUUUACACACACACUGUAAUAAAGUCUUACGGGAUGUAUGUCGCGUUUAACGCAAUACAAUACAACUUUCAGCAACGGAUCUCUUGGCUCUC
This 261-nucleotide unclassified non-coding RNA is filed under the name plant metagenome. RNAcentral describes it as "partial contains small subunit ribosomal RNA, internal transcribed spacer 1, and 5.8S ribosomal RNA". The record is from RNAcentral.